GCUGAACUUAAGCAUAUCAAUAAGCGGAGGAAAAGAAAAUAACAAUGAUUCCCCUAGUAACUGCGAGUGAAGAGGGACAAGCUCAAAUUUUAAAUCUAUCGGGUUUUACCUGAUCGAGUUGUAAUUUGAAGAUGGCGUUUUCUGUGUUUCUGAUCAGUCCAAGUCCUUUGGGAUAAGGCAUCAUGGAGGGUGAGAAUCCCGUUCGGUUGAUCAGAUUCGCUUUACGAUACGUUAUCAAAGAGUCAAGUUGUUUGGGAUUGCAGCUUAAAAUGGGAGGUAAAUUUCUCCUAAGGCUAAAUAACGGCGAGAGACCGAUAGCGAACAAGUACCGUGAGGGAAAGAUGAAAAGAACUUUGAAAAGAGAGUUAAACAGUACGUGAAAUCGUUGAAAGGGAAACGAUUGAAGCCAGUCGUACCUUCGGGUAAUCAGCCUUUUGGGUGUGAUUUUGUGGAGCGUGAAGAGUUAAACGCCUUCAUGCCUGCAUAUUCGUGCACUUUGGGUGUACUUGCCCGUAUGGUUGGUUAACAUCAAUUUUGGUGGUCAUAAAAUGACUGGAGGAAUGUAGCUUCGAUCUCGUAUUGAAGUGUUAUAGCCUUCGGUAGAUGUGAUGAUCGAGAUUGAGGAUUGCAACGGAUACCCUUCGGGGUUACCUGUCUGAUCUCUGAUCGUUGCUCUGGUGCCGAAAGCUUGCUUACGGUUAUCAAAGUCGAUGGUCAAUAGGUUAGAAUGGGUUAAAUUCGUUAAGGAUGUUGACGUAAUGGCUUUAAACGACCCGUCUUGAAACACGGACCAAGGAGUCUAACAUAUAUGCGAGUGUUAGGGUGAUUAAACCCUUACGCGUAAUGAAAGUAAUUUUGGUGGGAACACUUUUGUGCACCAUCGACCGAUCAGGAUAUUUUUUGAUAGAUUUGAGUAAGAGCAUAUCUGCUAGGACCCGAAAGAUGGUGAACUAUGCCUGAAUAGGGUGAAGUCAGAGGAAACUCUGAUGGAGGCUCGUAGCGGUUCUGACGUGCAAAUCGAUCGUCAAAUUUGGGUAUAGGGGCGAAAGACUAAUCGAACCAUCUAGUAGUCUGGUUCCUGCCGAAGUUUCCCUCAGGAUAGCAGAAACUCGUUAACAGUUUUAUGAGGUAAAGCGAAUGAUUAGAGGCCUUAGGGUUGAAACAGCCUUGACCUAUUCUCAAACUUUAAAUAUGUAAGAAGUUUAUCGUUACUUAAUUGAACGUGAACAUUCGAAUGAGA
RNAcentral lists this ribosomal RNA (1240 nucleotides) under Glomus sp. MUCL 43206. Its description in RNAcentral is "eukaryotic LSU rRNA". It matches the Rfam family "Eukaryotic large subunit ribosomal RNA", at positions 27 to 1118 of the family's 3401-position model. Lineage: Eukaryota; Fungi; Glomeromycota; Glomeromycetes; Glomerales; Glomeraceae. The record is from RNAcentral.